GCCCCGGUAGCUCAGUUGGAUAGAGCGUCCGCCUCCUAAGCGGAAGGUCCCAUGUUCGAAUCAUGGUCGGGGCGCCA
RNAcentral lists this transfer RNA (77 nucleotides) under Gammaproteobacteria bacterium. RNAcentral's name for it is "tRNA-Arg". It matches the Rfam family "tRNA". From Rfam's summary of the family: Transfer RNA (tRNA) molecules are approximately 80 nucleotides in length. Their secondary structure includes four short double-helical elements and three loops (D, anti-codon, and T loops). Further hydrogen bonds mediate the characteristic L-shaped molecular structure. tRNAs have two regions of fundamental functional importance: the anti-codon, which is responsible for specific mRNA codon recognition, and the 3' end, to which the tRNAs corresponding amino acid is attached (by aminoacyl-tRNA synthetases). tRNAs cope with the degeneracy of the genetic code in two manners: having more than one tRNA (with a specific anti-codon) for a particular amino acid; and 'wobble' base-pairing, i.e. permitting non-standard base-pairing at the 3rd anti-codon position. The record is from RNAcentral. Lineage: Bacteria; Pseudomonadati; Pseudomonadota; Gammaproteobacteria.